RNAcentral lists this unclassified non-coding RNA (200 nucleotides) under soil metagenome. RNAcentral's name for it is "partial contains internal transcribed spacer 2 and large subunit ribosomal RNA". The record is from RNAcentral.
UUCGAGCGUCAUUACAACCCUCAAGCUCUGCUUGGUAUUGGGUCUCGUCUAUCUUGACGGGCCUUAAAAUCAGUGGCGGUGCCAUUAGGCUCUAAGCGUAGUAAUUUUUCUCGCUAUGGACGUCUGGUGGAUACUUGCCAAUAACCCCCAAAUUUUUAAAGGUUGACCUCGGAUCAGGUAGGGAUACCCGCUGAACUUAA